This 714-nucleotide long non-coding RNA is filed under the name Marmota monax (woodchuck). Lineage: Eukaryota; Metazoa; Chordata; Mammalia; Rodentia; Sciuridae. The record is from RNAcentral.
UCUGAGGUUCAUGGGACAUAUCUUUGGCACCAAGGAACCACUCUUGGGGAAAACAAAAGUUUAAGAAAAAAAGUUAAAAGUCCAAGAUUAAAAACAAAGUCAUCACAAUUAUUAAUAUAGAUAGGAAAGUCCUCAAUAAUCACCAGCAAACUAAACCUACCAAAGAAUGAGAAGGAUUAUACAUCAUGGCCAAGAGGGAUUUAUCUCAGGAAUAAGAUUGGUUCAAUACAUGAAAAUCAAUUGAUGUAAUAUGCUGAAUUAAGAGAAAAAAAGGUUAAAAUGCAUGAUUAUUGUAACAGAUAUAAAGAAAACAUUUGAAAAAAAUUCAGUGCUUGGGAAGGGGAGAAGGGGAGAUAUAGAUCGGUGGUGCCUGGUAUGCACAAGGCCCUAGUUCCAUUCCCAACACUGCAAAGAAAAAAUUUAAAAAGUUCCUCAACAAAUUUUUUAGAAAACCCCCUGACAAAGGGCAUCUAUGAGAAACCCACUGCUAACAUCAUACCCAAUAGUAGGGGCUGAAAGCUUUCCCUCUUAAGUCAGGAAUAAGACAAGGCUGACUGUUCUCACCACUUCUAUGCAACAGUAUACUGCAAGUUCCAGGCUGGCAAAUUGGGCAAUAAAAAGACAGAAAAUGCAUCCAAAUUGGAAAAAGUAAAACUCUCUUUUUUUGCAGGUGAUAGCUUGUAUAUAGAAAAUCCUAAGGAAAACAAACACCCC